This 157-nucleotide unclassified non-coding RNA is filed under the name uncultured Ascomycota. RNAcentral describes it as "sequence contains ITS2". The record is from RNAcentral. Lineage: Eukaryota; Fungi; Ascomycota.
CAACCAUCAAGCACCGCUUGGUAUUGGGCAACGCCUCCGGAUUCUUUCCGCGGCGGGCCUCAAAGUCAGUGGCGGUACCGUCCAGCUUCCAGCGUAGUAAUUAACCUCGCUAGGGAUGCCGGACUCGUGCCCGCCAUCAAGCCAAAUUUUUUUCAGG